RNAcentral lists this transfer RNA (53 nucleotides) under Erica sp. Oliver 12641. Its description in RNAcentral is "partial tRNA-Phe". It matches the Rfam family "tRNA", at positions 17 to 64 of the family's 71-position model. Rfam says of the family: Transfer RNA (tRNA) molecules are approximately 80 nucleotides in length. Lineage: Eukaryota; Viridiplantae; Streptophyta; Magnoliopsida; Ericales; Ericaceae. The record is from RNAcentral.
GGUAGAGCAGAGGACUGAAAAUUCUCGUGUCGCCAGUUCAAAUCUGGUUCCUG